ACCCGCUGAACUUAAGCAUAUCAAUAAGCGGAGGAAAAGAAACCAACAGGGAUUGCCCCAGUAACGGCGAGUGAAGCGGCAACAGCUCAAAUUUGAAAUCUGGCCCCAGGCCCGAGUUGUAAUUUGCAGAGGAUGCUUUUGGCGCGGUGCCUUCCGAGUUCCCUGGAACGGGACGCCAUAGAGGGUGAGAGCCCCGUACGGUUGGACACCAAGCCUUUGUAAAGCUCCUUCGACGAGUCGAGUAGUUUGGGAAUGCUGCUCUAAAUGGGAGGUACAUUUCUUCUAAAGCUAAAUAUUGGCCAGAGACCGAUAGCGCACAAGUAGAGUGAUCGAAAGAUGAAAAGCACUUUGAAAAGAGGGUUAAACAGCACGUGAAAUUGUUAAAAGGGAAGCGCUUGUGACCAGACUUGCGUCCGGUGAAUCACCCAGCUCUCGCGGCUGGGGCACUUCGCCGGCACAGGCCAGCAUCAGCUUGCCGUCGGGGACAAAAGCUUCAGGAACGUAGCUCCUCUCGGGGAGUGUUAUAGCCUGUUGUAUAAUACCCUUCGGCGGGCUGAGGUACGCGCUCCGCAAGGAUGCUGGCGUAAUGGUCAUCAGCGACCCGUCUUGAAACACGGACCAAGGAGUCAACCUUAUGUGCGAGUGUUUGGGUGUUAAACCCCUACGCGUAAUGAAAGUGAACGCAGGUGAGAGCUUCGGCGCAUCAUCGACCGAUCCUGAUGUUCUCGGAUGGAUUUGAGUAAGAGCAUAUAGGGUUGGACCCGAAAGAAGGUGAACUAUGCGUGUGUAGGGUGAAGCCAGAGGAAACUCUGGUGGAGGCUCGCAGCGGUUCUGACGUGCAAAUCGAUCGUCAAACAUGCGCAUGGGGGCGAAAGACUAAUCGAACCUUCUAGUAGCUGGUUUCCGCCGAAGUUUCCCUCAGGA
Molecule: ribosomal RNA, 924 nt
Filed under: Colletotrichum acutatum
Lineage: Eukaryota; Fungi; Ascomycota; Sordariomycetes; Glomerellales; Glomerellaceae
Description: eukaryotic LSU rRNA
Rfam family: Eukaryotic large subunit ribosomal RNA
Source: RNAcentral